This is a long non-coding RNA of Passer domesticus (house sparrow), 1995 nucleotides long. RefSeq lists it as uncharacterized. NCBI's taxonomy places the organism in Eukaryota, Metazoa, Chordata, Aves, Passeriformes, Passeridae. The record is from RefSeq and is a predicted model, not a curated record. The transcript has 5 exons.
AUGAGCUACAGAGCUCUGAAACCAAACACAGCAUGAGGAUAUUCUAAAACAAUUCCAUAAAGAUCUGCACAAACAGGAGCACAAUUAAUUAUAAAUAUUAAACAGACACAUAGCAGAUCUUUUAAAAUCCAGUAGAACUUCUUAAACUGAAGACAGUUGACAUCCCUAUUGGCACUGAUCUUCACAUUUGAAGAUUACUCUAGAUGUUAAUAAAUCUAGGUGGAAAUUGCAACUGCUGAGCAAAAAGAUAAAGAAGUUAAGCCCAAGAGACACAAACUCCAUCUAAAGAGCUAUUGAGCAUGGCAUUUACAACACGAAUUUAAAUCUUAAGCCAGAGGAGAAUCUCCACCUUUGAGAGAUGUAUUUCAAUUUGUCUGGCCACUGGAUAGCCACCAACACAAUUGUGUAAGGACAUGUCAACCUUCAUCUCUCCUUGUUUCCAAGGACAGUCUACCUGAGUCCAAGUUCAAGAAAUUAGAUUGCCUGGAGAAACUUCCCAUUGACCUCAAAGCAUUUGUUAGACAAGCUUCUGCACAGACCCAAACUCUAAUACACCCAUAUGUAUCGAAUUUCUUACUUUGCUAUAAUGAGGAAAGCAUGGCAAGGGGCCACAGGGAAAUCUGCACUUGCUUUAUCCAUCACUUCCCCAUGACUAUUGGAAGCAAGGAAACCCAGUUCAUAUCAAACUUCUGUAAAUGAACACCAUGACACAUUUUCCAUCAAAGUUGAGAAAAUGUUGGACUUUAGGCAAGAGCCAGACCAGAAAUAUAACCAUACCUUCCCUUCUGCUCCAUUUGGGUAAUUUCUGGCAGGCUGAAAGGAUGUCAGGAGGGCUGAAGGCAGCUCUGCAAUGCCAGGAGUGAGCUGCAGAACAGAGUCUGCAUGGGACCUGACCAAACUAACACUCUGGACUGUCAGAGUGUGUCCCAGCACAUGUGGGAAGACAAUAAAUUACCUUCUUUUACCAUCCCUCCCACAUCUGCUGUAAAUGUGAGGAAGCAGUCCUUCCUCCACAGCAGUGAUCUUGAACAACUUAUUGUCGUAAGGGGAACCUCACUUUGUGUUCCCCGCUGCCACGUUCUCCUGCAGCUGGGAAGAACCAAUAGUUCUGAGAAUUUAAAUGAUCACAAAUCUCUAUUCUUUAAAAACAAAACAAGCCCAGAGAAAAUGGAUGCAUCUGAGCUGAUGUGUCCUACAGCCAGAAAUUUCAGCUAAAAGUAUCUGUAUCAAAAUAGUGCAGGUAACUUUCCCCUUCACUGAUGCUGAGAUAUGAGGCACACAUGAGAAGACAGAACUUCAGAGGAAUCACAUUGCUCAUGGGUAGUGUAGAGUGCUUUUAUUAUACAAGAUUAGGGAAGUACUUAUCAGCUGCUGAAAGCAACUCAGGAAACAAAGAUAGUUAAAGGAGUUUAUCCUCCAAGGAGGCAGAAAAAUCAAAAGCAGUUUCCAGAGAAGAUGAGCAUGUAGAUGUGUCCUGUCCUUCCUGACUGAGCUAAGCAAGGAAGAAAACAACCAUUUUAUUUGUAUCAGACAUAUCUGUUUUCUCAGAUGUGGCUGAAAUACACAUCUGCAAUCUUCAAUAGGAACAAUAGCAGUAAUUUCUUGGGUUUUUUGCAAUUUUCCUGUUUCUCAUGGCAUAAUCACCAGGGAUCCUGAUAGUUUUCAGGAUGCAAACGCAGAGAAAAACAUGCUUUUAGUGGCAAACCUUGGACAGACACAAAGAUACUGUUUUUUCCCUUCUCCUUCAAACAGCACUGCCAUACUGACUGUUCAACAGGCACAGCAGAGAUCCCACAGUUUAUGGCUGCAUCCACAGUGACCAAAACUAACAAACUAGAGAAACUGCUCUCCAGUGAAGAAAUUAUCAUAUUAUCAUAUUAUCCAGUGGAGAAAAUAUCAUAUUAGCUUGGUGAGAAAGCUUUGUUUCUAAAGCAUAUGGUGCUAGCAGGGAGCAGUGCUUAUCUUUGCCAAUAAAUGCUUUGCUUGUUAAACAAA